Molecule: ribosomal RNA, 440 nt
Filed under: uncultured bacterium
Lineage: Bacteria
Description: bacterial SSU rRNA
Rfam family: Bacterial small subunit ribosomal RNA
Source: RNAcentral
CCUACGGGAGGCAGCAGUGGGGAAUAUUGCACAACGGGGGAAACCCUGAUGCAGCAACGCCGCGUGAGCGAUGAAGGCCUUCGGGUCGUAAAGCUCUGUCCUAAGGGAAGAAUAAUGACGGUACCUUAGGAGGAAGCCCCGGCUAACUACGUGCCAGCAGCCGCGGUAAUACGUAGGGGGCGAGCGUUAUCCGGAAUCACUGGGCGUAAAGGGUGCGUAGGCGGCCCUGCAAGUCAGGAGUUAAAUCCCUCGGCUCAACCGAGGUCGGCGCUUGAAACUGUAGGGCUUGAGUGCAGGAGAGGAGAGCGGAAUUCCUAGUGUAGCGGUGACAGGCGUAGGUAUUAGGAGGAACACCAGUGGCGAAGGCUGCUCUCUGGACUGCAACUGACGCUGAGGCACGAAAGCGUGGGGAGCGAACAGGAUUAGAUACCCCUGUAGUC